GUGGCUGUGGCUCAGUGGUAGAGCGCUUGCCUAGCAUGUGUGAGGCACUGGGUUCAAUUCUCAGCACCACA
This 71-nucleotide transfer RNA is filed under the name Urocitellus parryii (Arctic ground squirrel). RNAcentral's name for it is "Spermophilus parryii (Arctic ground squirrel) tRNA". It matches the Rfam family "tRNA". From Rfam's summary of the family: Transfer RNA (tRNA) molecules are approximately 80 nucleotides in length. Their secondary structure includes four short double-helical elements and three loops (D, anti-codon, and T loops). Further hydrogen bonds mediate the characteristic L-shaped molecular structure. tRNAs have two regions of fundamental functional importance: the anti-codon, which is responsible for specific mRNA codon recognition, and the 3' end, to which the tRNAs corresponding amino acid is attached (by aminoacyl-tRNA synthetases). tRNAs cope with the degeneracy of the genetic code in two manners: having more than one tRNA (with a specific anti-codon) for a particular amino acid; and 'wobble' base-pairing, i.e. permitting non-standard base-pairing at the 3rd anti-codon position. The record is from Rfam by way of RNAcentral. Lineage: Eukaryota; Metazoa; Chordata; Mammalia; Rodentia; Sciuridae. RNAcentral also lists the same sequence under 1 other name.